RNAcentral lists this ribosomal RNA (372 nucleotides) under uncultured organism. RNAcentral's name for it is "partial 16S ribosomal RNA". It matches the Rfam family "Bacterial small subunit ribosomal RNA", at positions 527 to 896 of the family's 1533-position model. The record is from RNAcentral.
GUAGGUGGCAAGCGUUGUCCGGAAUUAUUGGGCGUAAAGCGCGCGCAGGCGGUUCUUUAAGUCUGAUGUGAAAGCCCACGGCUCAACCGUGGAGGGUCAUUGGAAACUGGAGAACUUGAGUACAGAAGAGGAAAGCGGAAUUCCACGUGUAGCGGUGAAAUGCGUAGAGAUGUGGAGGAACACCAGUGGCGAAGGCGGCUUUCUGGUCUGUAACUGACGCUGAGGCGCGAAAGCGUGGGGAGCAAACAGGGAUUAGAUACCCUGGUAGUCCACGCCGUAAACGAUGAGUGCUAAGUGUUAGGGGGUUUCCGCCCCCUUAGUGCUGCAGCUAACGCAUUAAGUACUCCGCCUGGGGAUACGGCCGCAAGGCUG